RNAcentral lists this ribosomal RNA (270 nucleotides) under Providencia rettgeri. RNAcentral describes it as "partial 23S ribosomal RNA". It matches the Rfam family "Bacterial large subunit ribosomal RNA", at positions 1422 to 1693 of the family's 2925-position model. The record is from RNAcentral. Lineage: Bacteria; Pseudomonadati; Pseudomonadota; Gammaproteobacteria; Enterobacterales; Morganellaceae.
GAAACGGGUUAAUAUUCCCGUACUGGUGAUAAUUGCGAUGGGGGGACGGAGAAGGCUAGGCUAUCCGGGCGACGGUUGUCCCGGUUUAAGGAUGUAGGCAGGUGAAUUAGGCAAAUCCGGUUCACUACAUGCUGAGGUCCGACGACGAGUCACUACGGUGAUGAAGUAGCUCAUGCCCCGCUUCCAGGAAAAGCCUCUAAGCUCUAGAUUAUCAUUAAUCGUACCCCAAACCGACACAGGUGGUCAGGUAGAGAAUACUCAGGCGCUUGA